UACUAACCACUGUUUCUUGAAAAAUGUUAUUUAUGUAUGUGCUUCUCUGUAAGAGACAAAAUAAGGUUGCCUGUAUAUAUUUUCUACUAUGAAAAGUCCAUUUAUUUGGCAAAUUUGUAACUGAAUCCCUACUACCUGUAUCACACUGGACUAGGCCCCCUGAGGAUACAAGGAUGUAUGGAAUCAGGUUCCUGCCCUCUGGGACCUUAACACGCAGAGGAAAGAUGAGACUGGCAAAAUUGGAAAACUGGAUAAUGCCAAGUGCUGGAGGGGUUUGGGGUAUGCAAAUUUCCAUGGAUAGCUGCUGGGAGUGGCGUAGCCAUUCUGGAAAGGUUCGGGUCCAGGCUGACCAAGGAGCACCUAUCUAGGACAUGCCAUUGUGACAGAUUAAAAAGAGAGAUGGUGGAACCAUA
Long non-coding RNA from Herpailurus yagouaroundi (jaguarundi), 413 nucleotides. RefSeq lists it as uncharacterized. NCBI's taxonomy places the organism in Eukaryota, Metazoa, Chordata, Mammalia, Carnivora, Felidae. The record is from RefSeq and is a predicted model, not a curated record. The transcript has 3 exons.